Molecule: ribosomal RNA, 381 nt
Filed under: uncultured eukaryote
Lineage: Eukaryota
Description: partial 18S ribosomal RNA
Rfam family: Eukaryotic small subunit ribosomal RNA
Source: RNAcentral
CAAUAGCGUAUAUUAAAGUUGUUGCGGUAAAAAAGCUCGUAGUUGGAUUUCUACCGAAGAUAGCCGGUCGGGUCUUCGACCUUGUAUCUGGUUUUGUCUUUGGUAUCCUCAUAGGGAACGUUUCUGCGCUUUAUUGCGUGGUGCGGUAUCUAUGACUUUUACUUUGAGGAAAUUAGAGUGUUCACGGCAGGCAAACGCCUUGAAUAUAUUAGCAUGGAAUAAUAACAUAGGAUCUUCGUCCUAUUUUGUUGGUUUCUAGGGCUAAGAUAAUGAGUAAUAGGGAUAAUUGGGGGCAUCUGUAUCAACGCGUCAGAGGUGGAAUUCUUGGAUUGCGUUGCGACAAACUACUGCGAAAGCAUUUGCCAAGGAUGUUUUCAUUGA